AAUGAACGCUGGCGGCGUGCCUAACACAUGCAAGUCGAACGAGAAAGCCCAGCUUGCUGGGCGAGUAAAGUGGCGCACGGGUGAGUAACGCGUGGAUAAUCUACCUUUGUCUGGGGGAUAACCUACCGAAAGGUGGGCUAAUACCGCAUAACGUGAUCGAGUUGCGAUUUGAUCACCAAAGAUGGCCUCUCCUUGGAAGCUAUCAGGUAAAGAUGAGUCCGCGUCCCAUUAGCUAGUUGGUAGGGUAAAGGCUUACCAAGGCGACGAUGGGUAGCUGGUCUGAGAGGAUGGCCAGCCACACUGGAACUGGAACACGGUCCAGACUCCUACGGGAGGCAGCAGUGAGGAAUCUUGCGCAAUGGGGCAACCCUGACGCAGCAACGCCGCGUGAGUGAAGAAGGCCUUCGGGUCGUAAAGCUCUGUCAAGUGGGAAGAAUAGCCUGAAGACGAAUAAUCUUGAGGUAUGACGGUACCACUGGAGGAAGCACCGGCUAACUCCGUGCCAGCAGCCGCGGUAA
This 518-nucleotide ribosomal RNA is filed under the name uncultured delta proteobacterium. RNAcentral's name for it is "bacterial SSU rRNA". It matches the Rfam family "Bacterial small subunit ribosomal RNA", at positions 29 to 523 of the family's 1533-position model. Lineage: Bacteria; Deltaproteobacteria. The record is from RNAcentral.